UACGGGAGGCAGCAGUGGGGAAUAUUGCACAAUGGGCGAAAGCCUGAUGCAGCUAUGCCGCGUGUAUGAAGAAGGCCUUAGGGUUGUAAAGUACUUUCAUCGGGGAGGAAAAAACAAAACUAAUAAUUUUAUUUCUUGACGUUACCCGAAAAAGAAGCACCGGCUAACUCCGUGCCAGCAGCCGCGGUAAUACGGAGGGUGCUAGCGUUAAUCAGAAUUACUGGGCGUAAAGAGCACGUAGGUGGUUUUUUUAAAGUCAGAUGUGAAAUCCCUGGGCUUAACCUAGGAACUGCAUUUUGAAACUGAAAUACUAGAGUAUCGUAGAGGGAGGUAGAAUUCUAGGUGUAGCGGUGAAAUGCGUAGAUAUCUGGAGGAAUACCUGUGGCGAAAGCGGCCUCCUAAACGAAUACUGACACUGAGGUGCGAAAGCGUGGGGAGCAAACAGGGAUUAGAUACCCG
Molecule: ribosomal RNA, 459 nt
Filed under: uncultured bacterium
Lineage: Bacteria
Description: bacterial SSU rRNA
Rfam family: Bacterial small subunit ribosomal RNA
Source: RNAcentral